Molecule: long non-coding RNA, 374 nt
Organism: Meriones unguiculatus (Mongolian gerbil)
Lineage: Eukaryota; Metazoa; Chordata; Mammalia; Rodentia; Muridae
Exons: 3
Source: RefSeq, a predicted model, not a curated record
CACAUCAAUCCGUCUGAUCUUCCACGAAGAAUUCUCUGAUCCUUCUUUGAAAACCUCGCCGUCUUUCAUCCUUUUUUCUGGUUGCUGUCAUGGGGACAAUUCAGAGCAAAGCUGUGCUCAGUGGGAGAAGCUUUCCACACAAGUGUGUUUACGUCAUCAGAGUCAGUCUCGUGGCCCAACGGGGUUCUUGGUUCUCUCUAAUGUUCAGACAGCCACAAUCAACUAUCCUGAUCCUAUCAUGCCAGAAGAAGUGUAGGAUCCCCUGGAACUGGAGCAACAGAUGGUGGUGAGCUAACACGUAGGUGCUGAGAGCCAAACCUGGGUCUUCUGGAAGAGCAGCCAGUGCUUUUAACCUCCGAGCAACCUCUUCAGCC